CACGCAUCGACCUGGUAUUGCAGUACUUCC
This 30-nucleotide non-coding RNA is filed under the name Callithrix jacchus (white-tufted-ear marmoset). The record is from RNAcentral. RNAcentral also lists the same sequence under 2 other names. Lineage: Eukaryota; Metazoa; Chordata; Mammalia; Primates; Cebidae.